RNAcentral lists this ribosomal RNA (254 nucleotides) under uncultured bacterium. RNAcentral's name for it is "partial 16S ribosomal RNA". It matches the Rfam family "Bacterial small subunit ribosomal RNA", at positions 524 to 776 of the family's 1533-position model. The record is from RNAcentral.
GACGAACCGAGCGAACGUUGUUCGGAAUCACUGGGCUUAAAGGGCGCGUAGGCGGGCGGCUAAGUCCGCGGUGAAAUCCUCCAGCUCAACUGGAGAACGGCCGCGGAUACUGGUCGUCUCGAGGAACGUAGGGGUAUGCGGAACUAUCGGUGGAGCGGUGAAAUGCGUUGAUAUCGAUAGGAACUCCGGUGGCGAAGGCGGCAUCCUGGACCGGCAUUGACGCUGAGGCGCGGAAAGCCAGGGGAGCAAACGGG